ACAAUGGUACUUCUGCAUAGCGACAGAUACAAGCAAUCGGUGCAGCUCGGAGAGAUCCUCGGAGGGGUGAGAUUCCCAUGU
This 81-nucleotide non-coding RNA is filed under the name unclassified sequences. The record is from Rfam.